RNAcentral lists this unclassified non-coding RNA (432 nucleotides) under soil metagenome. RNAcentral describes it as "partial contains 5.8S ribosomal RNA, internal transcribed spacer 2, and large subunit ribosomal RNA". The stretch from base 1 to 120 matches the Rfam family "5.8S ribosomal RNA", at positions 35 to 154 of the family's 154-position model. The record is from RNAcentral.
GAUGAAGAACGCAGCGAAAUGCGAUACGUAAUGUGAAUUGCAGAAUUCAGUGAAUCAUCGAAUCUUUGAACGCAAAUUGCGCUCUCUGGUAUUCCGGAGAGCAUGCUUGUUUGAGUAUCAGUAAACACCUCAACUUCCAUAUCUUUUUUGAAAUGGGAGUUGGACUUGAGUGAUCCCAACGCUUUUCCUCACCGAAAAGUGGCGGGUUACUUGAAAUGCAGGUGCAGCUGGACUUUUCUCUGAGCUAUAAGCAUAUCUAUUUAGUCUGCCUAAAAAACAGAUUAUUACCUUUGCUGCAGCUAACAUAAAGGAGAUUAGUUCUUGUGCUGACUGAUGCAGGAUUCACAAAGACAGGCUUCGGCCGACUUUGUAAACUCGAUCUCAAAUCAAGUAAGACUACCCGCUGAACUUAAGCAUAUCAAAAGCGGAGGA